AUUGAACGCUGGCGGCAUGCUUUACACAUGCAAGUCGAACGGUAACAGGCCUUCGGGUGCUGACGAGUGACGAACGGGUGAGUAAUGCAUCGGAACGUACCCAGACGUGGGUGAUAACGCAUCCAAAGCUGUGCUAAUACCGCAUGUGAUCUGAGGAUGCAAGCGAGGGACCAAGCAGCAAUGAUUGUCCUCGCGGAUUUGGAGCGGCCGAUGUCGGAUUAGCUAGUUGGUGGGAUAAAGGCCUACUAAGGCGACGAUCAGUAGACGGUCUGAGAGAGUGUACGGCCGAAUUGGGAGUGAGACACGGGCCAGACUCCUACGGGAGGCAGCAGUGGGGAAUUUUGCACAAUGGGGGAAACGCUGAUGCAGCGACGCCGCGUGAUUUAGAAGGCCUUCGGGUUGUAAAAAUCUUUUGUAUAGGAAGAAAAUGACAGUACUAUAAGAAUAAGGUCCGGCUAAUUACGUG
Molecule: ribosomal RNA, 466 nt
Filed under: uncultured bacterium
Lineage: Bacteria
Description: partial 16S ribosomal RNA
Rfam family: Bacterial small subunit ribosomal RNA
Source: RNAcentral